RNAcentral lists this ribosomal RNA (259 nucleotides) under uncultured bacterium. RNAcentral describes it as "partial 16S ribosomal RNA". It matches the Rfam family "Bacterial small subunit ribosomal RNA", at positions 793 to 1055 of the family's 1533-position model. The record is from RNAcentral.
GUCCACACUGUAAACGAUGAUAACUCGCUGUCGGCGAUACACAGUCGGUGGCCAAGCGAAAGCGAUAAGUUAUCCACCUGGGGAGUACGACCGCAAGGUUGAAACUCAAAGGAAUUGACCGGGGGCCCGCACAAGCGGAGGAACAUGUGGUUUAAUUCGAUGAUACGCGAGGAACCUUACCCGGGCUCGAACGGUGCAUGAAUAGAUCAGAGAUGGUUUAGUCCUUGGGACAUGUAUCGAGGUGCUGCAUGGUUGUCGU